GAUGAACGCUGGCGGCGUGCCUAAUACAUGCAAGUCGAGCGAACGGACGAGAAGCUUGCUUCUCUGAUGUUAGCGGCGGACGGGUGAGUAACACGUGGAUAACCUACCUAUAAGACUGGGAUAACUUCGGGAAACCGGAGCUAAUACCGGAUAAUAUUUUGAACCGCAUGGUUCAAAAGUGAAAGACGGUCUUGCUGUCACUUAUAGAUGGAUCCGCGCUGCAUUAGCUAGUUGGUAAGGUAACGGCUUACCAAGGCAACGAUGCAUAGCCGACCUGAGAGGGUGAUUGGCCACACUGGAACUGAGACACGGUCCAGACUCCUACGGGAGGCAGCAGUAGGGAAUCUUCCGCAAUGGGCGAAAGCCUGACGGAGCAACGCCGCGUGAGUGAUGAAGGUCUUCGGAUCGUAAAACUCUGUUAUUAGGGAAGAACAUAUGUGUAAGUAACUGUGCACAUCUUGACGGUACCUAAUCAGAAAGCCACGGCUAACUACGUGCCAGCAGCCGCGGUAAUACGUAGGUGGCAAGCGUUAUCCGUAAUUAUUGGGCGUAAAGCGCGCGUAGGCGGUUUUUUAAGUCUGAUGUGAAAGCCCAUGGCUNCACCGUGGAGGGUCAUUGGAAACUGGAAAACUUGAGUGCAGAAGAGGAAAGUGGAAUUCCAUGUGUAGCGGUGAAAUGCGCAGAGAUAUGGAGGAACACCAGUGGCGAAGGCGACUUUCUGGUCUGUAACUGACGCUGAUGUGCGAAAGCGUGGGGAUCAAACAGGAUUAGAUACCCUGGUAGUCCACGCCGUAAACGAUGAGUGCUAAGUGUUAGGGGGUUUCCGCCCCUUAGUGCUGCAGCUAACGCAUUAAGCACUCCGCCUGGGGAGUACGACCGCAAGGUUGAAACUCAAAGGAAUUGACGGGGACCCGCACAAGCGGUGGAGCAUGUGGUUUAAUUCGAAGCAACGCGAAGAACCUUACCAAAUCUUGACAUCCUUUGACAACUCUAGAGAUAGAGCCUUCCCCUUCGGGGGGCAAAGUGACAGGUGGUGCAUGGUUGUCGUCAGCUCGUGUCGUGAGAUGUUGGGUUAAGUCCCGCAACGAGCGCAACCCUUAAGCUUAGUUGCCAUCAUUAAGUUGGGCACUCUAAGUUGACUGCCGGUGACAAACCGGAGGAAGGUGGGGAUGGCGUCAAAUCAUCAUGCCCCUUAUGAUUUGGGCUACACACGUGCUACAAUGGACAAUACAAAGGGCAGCGAAACCGCGAGGUCAAGCAAAUCCCAUAAAGUUGUUCUCAGUUCGGAUUGUAGUCUGCAACUCGACUACAUGAAGCUGGAAUCGCUAGUAAUCGUAGAUCAGCAUGCUACGGUGAAUACGUUCCCGGGUCU
This 1372-nucleotide ribosomal RNA is filed under the name uncultured bacterium. RNAcentral describes it as "bacterial SSU rRNA". It matches the Rfam family "Bacterial small subunit ribosomal RNA", at positions 28 to 1381 of the family's 1533-position model. The record is from RNAcentral.